Molecule: ribosomal RNA, 253 nt
Filed under: uncultured bacterium
Lineage: Bacteria
Description: partial 16S ribosomal RNA
Rfam family: Bacterial small subunit ribosomal RNA
Source: RNAcentral
UACAGAGGGUGCAAGCGUUGCUCGGAAUUAUUGGGCGUAAAGGGCAAGUAGGUGGUCUCAUUUGUCUGGGGUGAAAGCCUUGAGCUUAACUCAAGAAGUGCCCCGGAAACGGUGAGACUCGAGUACUGGAGAGGGUCGUGGAAUUCCCGGUGUAGCGGUGAAAUGCGUAGAGAUCGGGAGGAACACCAGAGGCGAAGGCGGCGACCUGGACAGUCACUGACACUCAACUGCGAAAGCGUGGGGAGCAAACAGG